Aethalodelphis obliquidens (Pacific white-sided dolphin) is the source of this 2950-nucleotide RNA transcript. It is a transcript of the gene named prostaglandin I2 receptor, with no coding region annotated. The transcript is spliced from 3 exons. NCBI's taxonomy places the organism in Eukaryota, Metazoa, Chordata, Mammalia, Artiodactyla, Delphinidae. The record is from RefSeq and is a predicted model, not a curated record.
AGAGAGUACCAGAGCCUGGGGAAGACAGAGGGGAGAGAAAUAGUCGCACAAGAAUUGCGGUGGGUUGACUGGGACCCUCCCUCCCCCCGACCUCCAGCUGCAGCGAGGACCACGGGGAGGGGAGCGCGGUGGUGGGCGUCGCAGGGCCGGACCCGGCGCGGCUCCCCUCCGUCGCCACCUCCCACCCCGGGGACCCCUCUGGCCCGGGCGGCCGCCGGAGGCCGGGGAUGGCGGAUUCGUGCCAGAACCUCACGUACGUGCGGGACUCGGUGGGCCCGGCCACCAGCGCCCUGAUGUUCGUGGCGGGCGUGGUGGGCAACGGGCUGGCGCUGGGCAUCUUGGGGGCGCGGCGACGGUCACGCCCCUCGGCCUUCGCGGUGCUGGUCACCGGGCUGGCGGUCACCGACCUGCUGGGCACGUGCUUCCUGAGUCCGGUGGUGUUCGCGGCCUACGCCCGCAACAGCUCGCUGCUGGGCCUGGCCCGGGGCCGCCCGGCGCUGUGCGAUGCCUUCGCCUUCGCCAUGACCUUCUUCGGCCUGGCCUCCACGCUCAUCCUCUUCGCCAUGGCCGUGGAGCGCUGCCUGGCGCUCAGCCACCCCUACCUCUACGCCCGGCUGGACGGGCCGCGCCGCGCCCGCCUGGCGCUGCCCGCCAUCUACGCCUUCUGCGCCGUCUUCUGCUCGCUGCCCCUGCUGGGCCUGGGCCAACACCAGCAGUACUGCCCGGGCAGCUGGUGCUUCAUCCGUAUGCGCUCGUCCGAGCUGGGCGGCUGCGCAUUCUCGCUGGCCUACGCCAGCCUCGUGGCCCUGCUGGUGGCCACCAUCUUCCUCUGCAACGGCUCGGUCACCCUCAGCCUCUGCCGCAUGUACCGCCAGCAGAGGCGCCACCACGGCUCGCUGGUCCCCAGCCCCCGGGCGGGUGAAGACGAGGUUGACCACCUGAUUCUGCUGGCCCUCAUGACGGGCAUCAUGGCCGUGUGCUCCCUGCCUCUCACGAUCCACGGCUUCACCCAGGCCAUCGCCCCGGACAGCAGUGAGAUGGGGGACCUCCUCGCUUUCCGUUUCAAUGCCUUCAACCCCAUCCUGGAUCCCUGGGUCUUCAUCCUUUUCCGCAAGGCCGUCUUCCAGCGGCUCAAGCUCUGGUUCUGUUGCUUGUGCCUGAGGCCCGGCCCGGGCGACUUGCAGACGUCCCUCUCCCAGCCGGCCUCGGGGAGGAAGGGCUCAAGGGCCCCCACUGCUGUCGGGGGGAAGGAUGGGAGCUGGGUGCAUUCGUCAGCCUGGGGCGAGGGGCAGGGGGCACCCUUGCCUGUCCUACAGCCAUCCAGCAGCACCGUGGGAACACUGUCCAAAGUGGGGUCCGAGACAGCCUGCUCCCUCUGCUGACAUCUGCCCCGUGAUCUCCUGCCCUGUCUUCCGAGAGCAGCAGCCAGAAAUUCAGGGACUUGACCGGUGGCUGCAGGUGGACAAGCCCAGAGCUGGAUCCUGGAGCCCAGCCGGCCAGAAUGUUGACCCCCUGGAUUCAGGGGGACUUGGGAGGCCUGGUCCCCGCAGGGGAGGUGAAGAAGGGGAGACUGUUGCAUUGUGGGUGACACCACUGGACAGGUGCCUGGAAACUGCAUGGCUUGGUGAGUUGCAAGAUGUGGAUGGUGGGGCCCUGGGCUGGGGGAGAAGCUGGGGAAUGAAGCGGUGGGAGGUACAGAACCCAGGGACGGCCCAAGAACUCAAACCUAAGUCCUGUGCCUGUCCCUAUGCCCCCUCUCAGAGCCUCACUUCACCGCCUGUGUCCUGGGUACUGUCACCCAAAUGUCAUUCAUUCAUUCAUUCAUUCAACAUAGUGGUCGCUGACUCUACCAAGUGCUGGGGACACAGAGCAGUCUCGGCCCCACCCUGGGUUCCUCUGGGGUGAUUUCCAGCCUUCAAUUCCCCUUCUGAUUGCUGGGGUGAUGUCCAGCCAUCCACCCCUCCCCCCUUCUCGUUGCCAUCCCCUGCCCUCAGGUACAGAAUUCAAGGGUUUUCCAGGAGUGAACAUGAAAGGAAGUGGUGCUUCUGCUGGUGGGAGGAGGUGAAUGGGAAAGUCCCCCCAGACUCACCCCCCCAGCCCUGGGUUCCCCUUUCUCACUUGGCUUCAGGGUUAAAACAGUAAAUCUGCCCCUGGGGAGGACUGGAGGAGUAGAUGAGGCAUGAGCUUCCUAUAAAGACAAUAGCGGCAGCCAUGGAACCCGUGGCCCCUGCAGUGGGAGCCCAGAGUCCUAACCACUGGACCACCAGGGAAGUCCCUGGUCUACCUUUUUAGCUUCUUAGCUCAGAUCACUGUUGGGCUGAUGAGUUUGCUUUGGUUUCCUUUUGCGUAGAAUGGUGAUCAUAAUCUAAUACUUAGCUUACGAGGCCGUGCUGAGGAUUAAAUGAUUCCCCCGAAAAGCAGUUUAGCACAGGGCCUGGAGUAAAGCCCACAAUACGGGUUACUGUCACUGCCGUUGUUAUUGUUGUGGCUACUGUAGUGGUCUUUGGCAACUGGGCAAAUGCUGUUUGAAAACAACGCUUUUCUCCAUUGGUUUGACUUCUUCCCACCAGACAUUAUGUUUCAUUUGAAGGGGUGUCUGCGAGAGUUAAAAAUAGGUCAAACGACUGCUUAAUGGGUAUGGGGUUUCCUUUUGGGGUGAUGAAAAUGUCCUGGAACUAGAUAGUGGCGGUGGUUGUACAACGUCAUGAAUGUACUAAAUGUCACCGAAUUGUACUUUUUAAGAUGGUUAAAAGGGUACAUUUUGUGUUAUGGGUAUUUUACCACAAUAAAAAAAAAAAUGUAAUACUGAAAAAAAAAAUUGAGGAAGUUUAGAAACUUUUAUAGCAGUCUUGCCAGAGAAAUAUUGUAUCGCUUGAAUUUAUUUUUCAUUUAUUUUUAGCAUAUUUUAUUUUAUUUUAUUUAUUUAUUUUUGGCUGCGUUGGGUCUUCGU